This 373-nucleotide unclassified non-coding RNA is filed under the name fungal sp. RNAcentral describes it as "partial internal transcribed spacer region". The stretch from base 1 to 46 matches the Rfam family "Eukaryotic small subunit ribosomal RNA", at positions 1786 to 1831 of the family's 1831-position model. The record is from RNAcentral. Lineage: Eukaryota; Fungi.
AAGUCGUAACAAGGUUUCCGUAGGUGAACCUGCGGAAGGAUCAUUAACACGUUAUCCAACGUAUUAAACCAAACGCGAACUGUUCUCCCUAGCAAAAUAAGUUCAACUGUACUUGGGAAUUUUUGGUGGGUAGGCUUCGGCUUACAAUUCUCAGUACUAAAGGUCCGACCUUAAAGUUGAGAGCUUUUUGCUAGGCUUUUUCUUUCAAUUACAUUCCCAACCAUCCAUAGGGAGUGUAGUUGAAAAACAAACCUAUUUCACAAUUUUUAAGCCAUUUGACUAAUUCUAGUAUUCACUUGGAGAAAUCCUUGUUGAAUCAAACUAAGUUUAUCUUAACUAAGCACAACUCUUAGCAAUGGAUAUCUUGGUUCUC